UACAGAGGUCUCAAGCGUUGUUCGGAUUCAUUGGGCGUAAAGGGUGUGUAGGUGGCGCGCUAAGUCGGGUGUGAAAUUUUGGAGCUUAACUCCGAAACUGCAUUCGAUACUGGCGUGCUUGAGGACUGGAGAGGAGACUGGAAUUCAUGGUGUAGCAGUGAAAUGCGUAGAGAUCAUGAGGAAGACCAGUGGCGAAGGCGGGUCUCUGGACAGUUCCUGACGCUGAGGCACGAAGGCCAGGGGAGCAAACGGG
This 253-nucleotide ribosomal RNA is filed under the name uncultured bacterium. Its description in RNAcentral is "partial 16S ribosomal RNA". It matches the Rfam family "Bacterial small subunit ribosomal RNA", at positions 524 to 776 of the family's 1533-position model. The record is from RNAcentral.